This 301-nucleotide ribosomal RNA is filed under the name uncultured bacterium. RNAcentral describes it as "partial 16S ribosomal RNA". It matches the Rfam family "Bacterial small subunit ribosomal RNA", at positions 509 to 807 of the family's 1533-position model. The record is from RNAcentral.
CAGUAGCCACGGUAAUACGAAGGGGGCUAGCGUUGUUCGGAUUUACUGGGCGUAAAGCGCACGUAGGCGGAUCGAUCAGUCAGGGGUGAAAUCCCAGAGCUCAACUCUGGAACUGCCUUUGAUACUGUCGAUCUGGAGUAUGGAAGAGGUGAGUGGAAUUCCGAGUGUAGAGGCGAAAUUCGUAGAUAUUCGGAGGAACACCAGUGGCGAAGGCGGCUCACUGGUCCAUUACUGACGCUGAGGUGCGAAAGCGUGGGGAGCAAACAGGAUUAGAUACCCCUGUAGUCCCUGUCUCUUAUAC